Molecule: long non-coding RNA, 1319 nt
Organism: Catharus ustulatus (Swainson's thrush)
Lineage: Eukaryota; Metazoa; Chordata; Aves; Passeriformes; Turdidae
Exons: 4
Source: RefSeq, a predicted model, not a curated record
UUGGGAAGGGUGGAAAGGUACAGAGAGCUCAGAGAUUUCUAGCAGAUGUUAAGCCUGAUGCACACAUCCUUUGCACAACAGCAAGUGGCUGGGUAGGGAGAAUACAAAGAGGCAUGACUGACAUAAGCACAGUCACCAUGCCAAUGAGCACAAGUGGCUGUAUAUAUUAAUAGGCCAGAGGGAAGAUGUGAAUGCACCAGGAGUGCAAGCUACUGAAGGUGAGCUCCAUCAUCAAUAAUAUGUGGAGCUGAAGUUUCAAGGAGUCCCCUUGGUUGUUCUCCAGCAGCAGCCAGCACAUCAAAUCGCAGCCUGCAUCUUUCCACCCCUCUUUUGUUGCAGAAGAGGGCCAGCUGCCUCCAUGCCCUUUUCUCCCUGAGCAGCAGGUGGGAAGAGGCAAGCAAGCUCAUCUUGGACUCUGCUGUUGUAAGAGACUGGUCGAGGAACAACUCGUACAAGAGCUAUGAUCUCACCUUUUUCUUCUUCUUCCUCCUCCCUUCAUGACCAACCACAACCUAUCCCACAGGAAGUAUUUCCAAGAGAAUCAUGUAUCACUGACAUCUUCAUCAUAAACCACUUAAAACCAGAAUCAAAGAAUUACCUUUAGACAUUUCCAUUGAAGUUGUUUUCAAGAAAAAUAUGAAGAGAAAAACUCUGCUCUUCCUGAUAAGCUUAUAAAUCUGGUGCAACUCUACUGAAAUCAAGAAAUAAGGCCUGGAAAUUUUAUCUUCUGGCUCAGAAAAGAGGACUCUACAACAGGCCUGAUUCAUUGUGGAGGAAAACUAACUCCACACCAAAUGUUCAUAUUAAUUUGAUAAUUCGAUUUAGGACUUGACUGGUGAGGCAAGGUGACCCCUAAAGUAAUGAGUUUAGUCAACUUGAGCCAUUCUUAAAAUGUUGUAAGAUAUUACUGAAGAAGGGCGCAGAUUUGGAAUGUAUUAUUACUGAGUGACUGCAAAGCCUAGUCCCAGACUGUGAUGCAAGUAUGAUGGGUGCAGAAAAAAAUGGAGAAUAAGGACAGUAAGUCCCACAUACUUUUCCAGGUAUAGGGGAGAUGUAUAAUAUUCAAGUAUUAGUUCACUACUACAAUACUUGUAGAAGAUCUUUGUUCUGUGUCCUGUUGUCCAAGCUCAGUAAAAUGCAGAUCUUACAAGUGUCUAGUCUUGGAAAGCUCACCCAUCAAAAAAGGCACUUUUCCAAAUGUCCUGCUGUGAAUGGCAGCCUGGCCCCAAACCAAUUCAUCUGAUCCACGUGAAGAAGUGAAUGGAAUAAUUUGCACAGGUCCAUGUCCUUUCUGUGCUGAGAAUUCCAAAGCUGGAUGC